Long non-coding RNA from Carassius gibelio (silver crucian carp), 1447 nucleotides. RefSeq lists it as uncharacterized. The record is from RefSeq and is a predicted model, not a curated record. The transcript is spliced from 3 exons. Lineage: Eukaryota; Metazoa; Chordata; Actinopteri; Cypriniformes; Cyprinidae.
UGUCACGGGGUGACAAAAGAGAAGCGGAACUAAGUCCCGCCGGAAUUUUGUGUUCCCCUCGGGACGGUGUCGCGGUAACACCGGUCCACUUCCGGGUUGCGCCCGAUGUCAUAAUAACAACGCUAAUGACAGAUUGACAUCUGGUGUGGGGAGUUUGAUGUGGCGAUCUGUGAGAGGAUUAUGGAGGCGGAGUAACCACAUAAAAAGAGAAGUGCAGAGACCAUGGGGGGGUUGAUUCUAUUUGGUCGUUCGUUUUCCCGGCUAUUCUUCCGGGUUGGCUUGCCCCCGUGUGUGGUUCUUCUCUUUGGAUGUGUUCCCCUAGGAGAGGUGAAUUCCUGGGACGUUUGGGCUGGCGUGUGGAGGUAUUUGAGGACUAUUGUGGGGUUUCGGCUAUCUGGCUGUGCAACAGAUUUAUCAGCGAUCGAGUGGAGAUAUUCAGGACAGAAAGAGUGUGAGUUCUGGAAAGCAAGUGAAGACCAGACCGCGCCAUCGCUAUCGGAGGGAAGUUAAGAGACCUGAUCUGGGACUUCGAUCAAUUGCAUACAUCUGGACUGGGAGUGAUAACGUUGUGAAGUGGACGGAGUCAUCGUUGGGUGAGUGCUGGCUCUAUUUGAAGAGUGGGUGUGCCGUGUCUGAAGUGGUGUGUUUGCACAAUAAAUCGUUUGAAGUGAAGUUACAGAGUGUGGGGAAGAUGUAUAGAGUUAAUGCCGGACGCUCACCACCCCGAGAGCCCACCACCGUCACCGUAAUCCACACCCAGGCACUCGACUGAAGUAUCCCCCAGCCGUAAGCCCCAUUUCUUAUUCAAGAACACAUACAUGCUGUUGAUUACUUACCCCGCUGUGUAGAUCGCAGGUUCCUCUGGGCCGAACGCCGCAUGUGAUGUCCCUAUGAAAGGAGGUGGACACGAGAAUUAUUCCUUUCCCGGUCACAACCGAAGCAUCUCCCAGCCGUAAGCCCCAUUACUUAUUCAAGAACACAUACUUACUGUUGAUUACUUACUCUGCUGUGCAGAUCGCAGGAUCCUCUGGGCCGAACGCCGCAUGUGAUGUCCCUAUGAAAGGAGGUGGACACAAGAAUUAUUCCUUUCCCGGUCACAACCGAAGCAUCUCCCAGCCGUAAGCCCCAUUACUUAUGCAAGAACACAUACUUACUGUUGAUUACUUACUCUGCUGUGCAGAUCGCAGGAUCCUCUGGGCCGAACGUCGCAUGUGAUGUCCCUAUGAAAAGAGGUGGACACACGAAUUAUUCCUUUCCCGGUCACAACCGAAGCAUCUCCCAGCCGUAAGCCCCAUUACUUAUGCGAGAACACAUACUUGCUGUUGAUUACUUACUCUGCUGUGCAGAUCGCAGGAUCCUCUGGGCCGAAUGCUGUAUGUGAUGUCCCUGUAGAAAGAGGUGGACACGAGAAUUAUUCCUUUCCCCGGUCUCGACCGAAAUAUCCACG